CCCCCAACCAUAUAGCAAUUACAUCUAGAUUUAAAUCAGAUUAAAGAAUAAAAGAGAUUAAGGUUUACUUACUUUGAUAGGAAAGAGAACCUUAGGCAGCAACCUCCUUUACUUCUUUUCCUCUUCUUCUCUAUUUUCCUGUUUUCUACCUUCAACCCACUCGCACACACAAACACUCACACACACGGACACACACACACACUCACAGAGAGGCAAAAAAGAGGGAGAAAGAGAAAGAAUAUAGGAGAUUCACACACAAACACUCACACAUUGAGGGAGAUGGGAGGAGGGAAGAAAGCAAGAGAGAGAGUGUGUGAUAACCCAGCCCACUAAGCCCA
RNAcentral lists this long non-coding RNA (338 nucleotides) under Elaeis guineensis (African oil palm). RNAcentral's name for it is "long non-coding RNA (EGUI_LNC075218)". Lineage: Eukaryota; Viridiplantae; Streptophyta; Magnoliopsida; Arecales; Arecaceae. The record is from RNAcentral.